This 580-nucleotide ribosomal RNA is filed under the name uncultured rumen bacterium. RNAcentral describes it as "bacterial SSU rRNA". It matches the Rfam family "Bacterial small subunit ribosomal RNA", at positions 205 to 791 of the family's 1533-position model. The record is from RNAcentral.
AACUCCGGUGGUAUGAGAUGGGCCCGCGUCAGAUUAGCCAGUUGGCAGGGUAACGGCCUACCAAAGCGACGAUCUGUAGCCGGCCUGAGAGGGCGGACGGCCACAUUGGGACUGAGACACGGCCCAAACUCCUACGGGAGGCAGCAGUGGGGGAUAUUGCACAAUGGAGGAAACUCUGAUGCAGCGACGCCGCGUGAGUGAAGAAGUAUUUCGGUAUGUAAAGCUCUAUCAGCAGGGAAGAAAGGCUCGAAAGAGAGAUGACGGUACCUGACUAAGAAGCCCCGGCUAACUACGUGCCAGCAGCCGCGGUAAUACGUAGGGGGCAAGCGUUAUCCGGAUUUACUGGGUGUAAAGGGAGCGCAGACGGAUGUGCAAGUCUGAAGUGAAACCCCACGGCUCAACCGUGGGCUUGCUUUGGAAACUGUAUAUCUAGAGUACUGGAGAGGUAAGCGGAAUUCCUAGUGUAGCGGUGAAAUGCGUAGAUAUUAGGAGGAACAUCGGUGGCGAAGGCGGCUUACUGGACAGCAACUGACGUUGAGGCUCGAAGGCGUGGGGAGCAAACAGGAUUAGAUACCCUGGU